Long non-coding RNA from Herpailurus yagouaroundi (jaguarundi), 777 nucleotides. RefSeq lists it as uncharacterized. Lineage: Eukaryota; Metazoa; Chordata; Mammalia; Carnivora; Felidae. The record is from RefSeq and is a predicted model, not a curated record. The transcript has 2 exons.
AGAUUGCUAAGGCCUGUGCCCUCCUGUAAACACCUGUCACUUCCCCGCUCUGCAGAAAUGCUGGGGCCGAUGAGGUCACGCGCGUGGAAUGUACGGGAGCUUCUCGGAGAAAGGAACCAGAUACAUUUGGGACAAUACUAUCGUCACCCCAGCCGCCUGGGAUUCCGCUUUCUAGCAAACCCAAGGGCCCAGAAGCCAGAAGCUACAAAAUAAGGAAAAAUAAAGGAAGGUGCCCGGCCCCAGAGAAAGCAGGAAGUAGGCCAGGAAAUGGCUGUAAGGUCAGAGAUAACACGAAGCAGGGAAGCUUCGUGGCCCCGGGAGGGUAUGACGGCAGCGGCCGGCCGCCCCACUGUGCACAGACCUCCCAGAAAAUCGAAGGCAAGUUCUCCCUGGUUUUGUGAAGCGGGGCCCUUCUGACUGCUGACUCGGGCAAGGAUGUGCUUAGCUGAGUCGUCCUGUCUCUCCUGGCAUCAGGGCUCCGUGCUGUGAAUGCAAGAGGUGGUCGGAGAAAAUGAUUCUCCUUCCUACGGCUUAAUACAAGGAGGCAGGCGAGGCGCCUCGCGUGUGGGAGGAGUUUCUCACCACGUCUGGGACCCUGGUUAGGGAUCUCGCGAAAUUACCCACUGAAAGUGAUUUUCUUUUCCCUGUAAGUUCUCGAGAAUAAUGGCUUGACAAACUCAGAAUUUCAUGGGCUCUGUAAACCAGUUCUGCCCUUGAACACUUUCUUGUAUACCCGCUGGCAACUCAUGAAUCCUUUCCCAAAAAAGGUAGUCAGUA